Molecule: ribosomal RNA, 495 nt
Filed under: uncultured bacterium
Lineage: Bacteria
Description: partial 16S ribosomal RNA
Rfam family: Bacterial small subunit ribosomal RNA
Source: RNAcentral
GACGAACGCUGGCGGCGUGCCUAAUACAUGCAAGUAGAACGCUGAAGGAGGAGCUUGCUUCUCUGGAUGAGUUGCGAACGGGUGAGUAACGCGUAGGUAACCUGCCUGGUAGCGGGGGAUAACUAUUGGAAACGAUAGCUAAUACCGCAUAAGAGUAGAUGUUGCAUGACAUUUACUUAAAAGGUGCAAUUGCAUCACUACCAGAUGGACCUGCGUUGUAUUAGCUAGUUGGUGAGGUAACGGCUCACCAAGGCAACGAUACAUAGCCGACCUGAGAGGGUGAGCGGCCACACUGGGACUGGGACACGGCCCAGACUCCUACGGGAGGCAGCAGUAGGGAAUCUUCGGCAAUGGACGGAAGUCUGACCGAGCAACGCCGCGUGAGUGAAGAAGGUUUUCGGAUCGUAAAGCUCUGUUGUAAGAGAAGGACGAGUGUGAGAGUGGAAAGUUCACACUGUGACGGUAUCUUACCAGAAAGGGACGGCUAACUACGUG